UACGUAGGGUGCGAGCGUUGUCCGGAAUUAUUGGGCGUAAAGAGCUCGUAGGCGGUGUGUCACGUCGGCCGUGAAAACCUGCAGCUUAACCGUGGGCGUGCGGUCGAUACGGGCAUCACUGGAGUUCGGCAGGGGAGACUGGAAUUCCUGGUGUAGCGGUGAAAUGCGCAGAUAUCAGGAGGAACACCGGUGGCGAAGGCGGGUCUCUGGGCCGUAACUGACGCUGAGGAGCGAAAGCGUGGGUAGCAAACAGG
RNAcentral lists this ribosomal RNA (254 nucleotides) under uncultured bacterium. RNAcentral describes it as "partial 16S ribosomal RNA". It matches the Rfam family "Bacterial small subunit ribosomal RNA", at positions 524 to 776 of the family's 1533-position model. The record is from RNAcentral.